Molecule: ribosomal RNA, 840 nt
Filed under: Xanthoparmelia lineola
Lineage: Eukaryota; Fungi; Ascomycota; Lecanoromycetes; Lecanorales; Parmeliaceae
Description: eukaryotic LSU rRNA
Rfam family: Eukaryotic large subunit ribosomal RNA
Source: RNAcentral
CAGUAACGGCGAGUGAAGCGGCAACAGCUCAAAUUUGAAAUCUGGCUCCUUCGGGGCCCGAAUUGUAAUUUGUAGAGAGUGCUUCGGGCGAGACCUCGGUCUAAGUCCAUUGGAACAUGGUGUCAUAGAGGGUGAGAAUCCCGUAUGCGACCGUGGCUCGAGCCCAUGUGAAGCCUCUUCGACGAGUCGAGUUGUUUGGGAAUGCAGCUCAAAAUGGGUGGUAAAUUUCAUCUAAAGCUAAAUACUGGCUGGAGACCGAUAGCGCACAAGUAGAGUGAUCGAAAGAUGAAAAGCACUUUGGAAAGAGAGUCAAACAGUACGUGAAAUUGUUGAAAGGGAAGCGCUUGCAACCAGACCUGCCCGUAGGCGAUCAGCCGCUGUUCUCAGCGGUGUACUCGCUCUGCGAUCAGGCCAGCAUCGGUUUCGGCGGUUGGAUAAAGGCCUUGGGAAUGUAGCUUCCCUUCGGGGGAGUCUUAUAGCCCUCGGUGCAAUGCGGCCAGCCGGGACCGAGGACCGCGCUCCGGCUAGGAUGCUGGCGUAAUGGUUGUAAGCGACCCGUCUUGAAACACGGACCAAGGAGUCUAACAUCUAUGCGAGUGUUUGGGUGUCAAACCCAUACGCGGAAUGAAAGUGAACGGAGGUGAGAACCCUCAAGGGCGCAUCAUCGACCGAUCCAGAUGUCUUCGGAUGGAUUUGAGUAUGAGCAUAGCUGUUGGGACCCGAAAGAUGGUGAACUAUGCCUGAAUAGGGUGAAGCCAGAGGAAACUCUGGUGGAGGCUCGCAGCGGUUCUGACGUGCAAAUCGAUCGUCAAAUUUGGGUAUAGGGGCGAAAGACUAAUC